This 482-nucleotide ribosomal RNA is filed under the name uncultured bacterium. RNAcentral describes it as "partial 16S ribosomal RNA". It matches the Rfam family "Bacterial small subunit ribosomal RNA", at positions 28 to 523 of the family's 1533-position model. The record is from RNAcentral.
GACGAACGCUGGCGGCGCGCCUAACACAUGCAAGUCGAACGAGAGAGAGGGAGCUUGCUUCCUCGAUCGAGUGGCGAACGGGUGAGUAACUCGCGUGGAACCUGCCUCAAAGAGGGGGACAACAGUUGGAAACGACUGCUAAUACCGCAUAAGCCCACGGCUCGGCAUCGAGCAGAGGGAAAAGGAGCAAUCCGCUUUGAGAUGGCCUCGCGUCCGAUUAGCUAGUUGGUGAGGUAAUGGCCAACCAAGGCGACGAUCGGUAGCCGGACUGAGAGGUUGAACGGCCACAUUGGGACUGAGACACGGCCCAGACUCCUACGGGAGGCAGCAGUUGGGAAUAUUGCACAAUGGGGGAAACCCUGAUGCAGCGACGCCGCGUGGAGGAAGAAGGUCUUCGGAUUGUAAACUCCUGUUGUUGAGGAAGAUAAUGACGGUACUCAACAAGGAAGUGACGGCUAACUACGUGCCAGCCGCCGCAGUAA